This 445-nucleotide ribosomal RNA is filed under the name uncultured bacterium. Its description in RNAcentral is "partial 16S ribosomal RNA". It matches the Rfam family "Bacterial small subunit ribosomal RNA", at positions 339 to 795 of the family's 1533-position model. The record is from RNAcentral.
CUACGGGGCGCUCCAGUGGGGAAUAUUGCACAAUGGGCGCAAGCCUGAUGCAGCAACGCCGCGUGAGGGAUGAAGGCCUUCGGGUUGUAAACCUCUUUUAGCAGGGAAGAAGCGAAAGUGACGGUACCUGCAGAAAAAGCACCGGCUAACUACGGUGCCAGCAGCCGCGGUACUACGUAGGGUGCAAGCGUUGUCCGGAAUUAUUGGGCGUAAAGAGCUCGUAGGCGGUUUGUCACGUCUGCUGUGAAAAUCCAAGGCUCAACCUUGGACUUGCAGUGGGUACGGGCAGGCUAGAGUGCGGGAGGGGAGAUGGGAAUUCCUGGUGUAGCGGUGGAAUGCGCAGAUAUCAGGAGGAACACCAAUGGCGAAGGCACAUCUCUGGGCCGUAACUGACGCUGAGGAGCGAAAGCGUGGGGAGCGAACAGGAUUAGAUACCCGGGUAGUC